CCCUUAGAUGUCCUGGGCCGCACGCGCGCUACACUGAGUGUCUGAGAUACGAGUCUGCCUGGUCCGGCAAGGUCUAGGUAAUCGCUAAAAGACACAUCAUGCUUGGGAUAGAUUAUUGCAAAUAUUAAUCUUGAACGAGGAAUUCCUAGUAAGCACUAGUCAUCAGCUAAUGUUGAUUAUGUCCCUGCCCUUUGUACACACCGCCCGUCGCUACUACUGAUUGGGUGUUCAAGUGAGAUGCUUAGACCCUUGUUGCAUGGUUCAUUAUUGUGCUCCGAAAGGAAAAAGUUUCAAGCUUGAGUGUCUAGAGGAAGUAAAAGUCGUAACA
RNAcentral lists this ribosomal RNA (328 nucleotides) under uncultured eukaryote. RNAcentral describes it as "partial 18S ribosomal RNA". It matches the Rfam family "Eukaryotic small subunit ribosomal RNA", at positions 1470 to 1796 of the family's 1831-position model. The record is from RNAcentral.